Oryza glaberrima (African rice) is the source of this 183-nucleotide non-coding RNA. The record is from Rfam. Lineage: Eukaryota; Viridiplantae; Streptophyta; Magnoliopsida; Poales; Poaceae.
UAUAAGGGAUUUUGAGUUUUUGCUUGCAACGUUUGACUACUCGUCUUAUUCAAAAAAUUUUUGAAAUUAUUAUUUAUUUUAUUUGUGACUUUAAGCACAACUUUUCAUUUUUUAUAUUUGCAAAAAAAAUUUGAAUAAGACGAGUGGUCAAACGUUGCAAGCAAAAACUAAAAAUCCCUUAUA